GUAGGUGGCAAGCGUUGUCCGGAAUUAUUGGGCGUAAAGCGCGCGCAGGCGGUUCUUUAAGUCUGAUGUGAAAGCCCACGGCUCAACCGUGGAGGGUCAUUGGAAACUGGAGAACUUGAGUACAGAAGAGGAAAGCGGAAUUCCACGUGUAGCGGUGAAAUGCGUAGAGAUGUGGAGGAACACCAGUGGCGAAGGCGGCUUUCUGGUCUGUAACUGACGCUGAGGCGCGAAAGCGUGGGGAGCAAACAGGGAUUGGAUACCCUGGUAGUCCACGCCGUAAACGAUGAGUGCUAAGUGUUAGGGGGGUUUCCCGCCCCCUUAGUGCUGCAGCUAACGCAUUAAGCACUCCGCCUGGGGAGUACGGCCGCAAGGCUG
This 375-nucleotide ribosomal RNA is filed under the name uncultured organism. RNAcentral describes it as "partial 16S ribosomal RNA". It matches the Rfam family "Bacterial small subunit ribosomal RNA", at positions 527 to 896 of the family's 1533-position model. The record is from RNAcentral.